UAGAUUUUGGGUUAGGAUGUUACAUGAUGUCCCUAAACGCACCACUGACAUCCACACCUUUCAGCCGACAAUUACCUGGCUAUAAGAAACAGCUGCGCUUCACUACUGAGAGAAGGCAUUUGGCAGUCUUGGCAAUCUAAGGUGGCUGCAGCACUAGGCAGUUGAGCUCCACAUAUCUCUUAAGGAAAGCUACUCAGUUGCCCUUAGAGAGUGGUAAGUGCGACUUUUGUUUAUCAUACUGUGGCAUAGUAGGGUGGACUCUGACUACUGUUUCCCUCUCUUGUUGCAGGUGUGCAUUAGACUGCUGCUGUCUUGUCAGAUGCCGUUUUGUUUGUUAUGCACUACUUUUAUAACGUAUAGUGAUUUGGGAUGUGUUGGUUUUAUGUAGAUCUUUUAUUGAUUGUUUAACAUUUUAUCUUUUCUUUUAUUGCUUUAGUGGAGGUGCGGCCGCUUGUUCAGAGGCUAGGCACAUGAGGUGGAAUCCCCUCCCCGAUGCAUGCGAGUGUACACACCGGGCAUAGGCAGAUUGCACCCUUUAGAGUUUAGUGUGAGUGAGGUUUGCUGUGAAAUCACACGGAUUCAUUGAGAGUAACAAACUAGAGACUACAUCCAAAUAUGCCUUCAGAGGACUGAGGGACCUGACUCACUUGUCUUUGGCAAAGAAUAACAUUAAAGCCUUGCCCAGGGACCUCGCCAUUGACCUUGACUCCCUUAAAGAGCUAUUUCAUCCUUCAUCAGUCUGUUGCCUCAGAAUCGUUGUCUGUUGACACAUUCAGCUAUAAGAAUGAUGUCUACGUGGCCAUUUCUGCUCCCAGCACAGAGAGCUGUAUGAUUUUCCAGUGGGACCACAUAGAAAUGAACUUCAGGACUUAUGAUAACAUCACAGGUCAGUCUAUUGUGGGGUGCAAAUCUGUCAUCAUCGAAAAUGAGGUGUUUGUCAUUGUGGCUCAGCUGUUUGGUGGUUCCCACAUUUACAAGUUUGAUGACGAGCAAAGCAGGUUCAAAGAGAAAGGACCUUAUAAACUGUUAAAUAUCCACACCUUCAUAGUUUUCACUCACAAAUUAGAGCUGGGUCAAGAUGUAUCGUGACUAUUUCUGAAUGGCCUUGCACUCAUGGAUCCUCAGACUUUCUGAAGUACUACCCUUUCAUAACUACUUCUAUUCUCUUAAAAAUACCACUGAAGUUCAUGACGGGUUAAAAAAGAGACAUUUAAUUGAAUCUAUCUGGAUUUAUCUUUUAUUGUUUAAUAUCUUUCUCUCAGUAGUUUUAUGCAGCUAUAAAAAUACAUCAGGACCUGAAUGAACGUAACAAAUUUAUUCUGAUUUGCGGUGACUGAUGAUGGAUUGAAUGAUUUUGCCACCUACCUGUAUCCUCAUACCCUGUGGUAACGUACAGUACCUUGCCUUAUCAACACUGGGGUCUUUUGUUUGAUGGUUACACAGUGCCUCCUUCUGGCCGUGAUGAAGUACCACACCCCUCUUCUCUUUCCAUUACAGGGAAUGUCUAGAAAGCACAAACCUUUAAUUAUCAUAGCUGAGAUCAUAGAGUGUAGCCGUUUGUUGGAAGGUGUCUUUGUAGAUGCUGUAGAUUAUAAUGCAUACAGUAGGAAGCAGUGGUUUGUUGUUACAGUUAGUAAAAUAUCCAGGACUUGACCUUAUACAAAUUCAUUAAUGGAGAAUCGCCAUUUAGAUACAACUUUUAGAUCUGCUGUAAUAUAAUGUGGCAAAGUACAGAGAAACUUUAUCAGUAUUGCAACGCAGCUGUGUUUAGAUGAUGUCAGGGAAAAUAAACCUCCUGAUAUGUUCAAAAGAAAAACAGUUUUGCCCAAAUAACAAUAUUUUUUUUUCUAACAUCUGAAGUCAGAAGCAUCAGAGGCAGAAUUUGUAUGACCAAAAGGAAGGAAAAUAAAUGUACAUGUAAAUAUAUCUUCAAGCUUUCAAAUUUUUAUUCUGCUUUUGGAAAUGCUGAAUGUUGACAAGCUCCAAAAUGUACAUAAACCAAGGAUUGUAAUGUCACCACCUGUUUGAAUGGACCUUUGCACUUACAAAACUGAAAUGUUACUGCAGCCUGCAAGAGCAUGACAUUCAAAAAAGGGUGUUUGCCAUAUUCUUUUUCGAUAAACCUAACAAAGACUAAAAGUGCUUCUAGGUUAACAAUAUGCAAGCGUUACAAUUCUUUUGUAUGAUUUUGUUUAAGCCUAAUGAAUGUUCCUCUUACAAAUAUGAUGUAAUGUCAAAAUAAAUCUGUGAAAACAUGACAAAUUUAUUUAUCCCACUGUAGUGAUUAAUCACUGAUACUGAUCAUUAAA
This is a long non-coding RNA of Oreochromis aureus, 2309 nucleotides long. RefSeq lists it as uncharacterized. The record is from RefSeq and is a predicted model, not a curated record. The transcript has 5 exons. Lineage: Eukaryota; Metazoa; Chordata; Actinopteri; Cichliformes; Cichlidae.